RNAcentral lists this ribosomal RNA (498 nucleotides) under uncultured bacterium. Its description in RNAcentral is "partial 16S ribosomal RNA". It matches the Rfam family "Bacterial small subunit ribosomal RNA", at positions 28 to 523 of the family's 1533-position model. The record is from RNAcentral.
GAUGAACGCUAGCGGCAGGCCUAAUACAUGCAAGUCGGACGGGAUUGAGGAGCUUGCUUCUCAUGAGAGUGGCGCACGGGUGCGUAACACGUAUGUAACCUACCUUAGUCAGGGGGAUAGCCUCUCGAAAGAGAGAUUAACACCGCAUAACAUUAUGAUAUGGCAUCAUAUUAUAAUCAAAUAUUUAUAGGACUAAGAUGGGCAUGCGGAACAUUAGCUAGUUGGUAAGGUAACGGCUUACCAAGGCUACGAUGUUUAGGGGAUCUGAGAGGACGACCCCCCACACUGGUACUGAGACACGGACCAGACUCCUACGGGAGGCAGCAGUAAGGAAUAUUGGGCAAUGGACGCAAGUCUGAACCAGCCAUGCCGCGUGCAGGAAGACGGCCCUACGGGUUGUAAACUGCUUUUGUACCGGAAUAAACCUUUGUAUGUAUACGAAGCUGAAUGUACGGUAAGAAUAAGGAUCGGCUAACUCCGUGCCAGCAGCCGCCGUAA